This 1521-nucleotide long non-coding RNA is filed under the name Mus pahari (shrew mouse). RNAcentral describes it as "RIKEN cDNA D730045B01 gene (MGP_PahariEiJ_G0005411.1)". Lineage: Eukaryota; Metazoa; Chordata; Mammalia; Rodentia; Muridae. The record is from RNAcentral.
AGCUGAAACUUGUGCGAAAGGAAAAUCAACCCUGCUGGGCCUUGGCAUCCUGCUCUUGCACUUGAGAGAGGACCCUGGAGCGGAAGCUGCAAGGCUAACGAGAGGCUACAAAGUAAAGCCUCCUCACCGCAAAGCGGGACACGGAGGGCCUCGGUCCACGCCGAGUGAAGAACCGAAGCCCGGAGCCCAGAGAACCACAGAGGCCUUGAAAAAACGGAAAAAAGGCCGGCUUCCUCCCGCGUGAGCUCCGUCGCCCCGCCGGACUCCACCCGUUUCCGCUCAGGGUAACCGCAAAACCCUUCCCGCGCGGGAACUCGGCGGAGGAGGAGUCUUGGGUCCCGCCCUUCUGGCGGCGGUGCGCGUCCGGCCUACCCCGGCGGCCCCGCCGCGGUGUCUCUGGAAGGUUCUGACGGGAGGAAGCGCGCCCCUCCGCAGGCCGGGGAACACUCGGCGCCAGAUGGCGCUACCGCACCGAGAGCCAGAGAGCACCAGCGCCUCCAGGGAGCGGGGCCGAGCCGUCCCCGGAAGUGCGCGCUCCGCGAGCCUCCCGGCCCGGAUAUCCAGCCUCCUGGCGUGUUCCCGCGCGGGGGCGGAGCUCCAGCCGGAACCGGACUGAGAACGCGGGGCCUCGUGGCGGAAGAGCCAGGCGGGACCUUGGAGGCGGUGACUUCCGCUGCGCGCGCCUGGGCUGGGCGUGCCUGCGAGGGGCGGGGCCUCCGCGCUUGCGCUUGCGCUUGCGCACGAGGAGGGCGUUGUAGCGGGAGGCCGGCGCUCGCUUCUCCAUCUUUGGUCGCUCGCAGGCCUCGCCGGGCGGACGUGAAUGUGGUGACUUUGCGGGUUUUUGUCUUUUUUUUUUUUGAUGCUUCCCACCCGCACGGGUUGGUUUCUGGCUGUAAGUUCCGUUUCUGGACAUCUCUGGGACGUAGUCUCGAGCUGCUCUCUCGCCGUUGAUCCCUCCACGUUCAUCCCAUCCUUGCCUCGUUACCCACUCGGGGCUACCCGUGACAGCUGACGGCAUCUAAGGACUUGGAAAGGCUUAGAGUACGGGCUUUGAAGGCGCAUAAUUUGAGUUUUACCCUUUUUUUUUUUUUUUGCCAGGAUAUUGGCACUCUGCAUUCUGUGGCGUGGCUUUGCACCGCACAGUUUGUUGAGGGUUUGAACGCUGCCAGAGGAAAAGCCCGCCCCUUUCCCACGUUGGCUGUGUCCGAUCCAAACCCAUUUUGAAGUAGAAGGACAGUACUUCACCCCGGUACAUGGGCUUUGUUUUGCUAUUAGAUAUAUUGUGAGGACUAUGGACUUGAAUUGCAGAAAGUAUUCGUGUCCACGUUUAAGUAUACAUACACUUUAGGCUAAAAGACAGUUUCCCAAAGCUCCCGACUUUUCCCAGAAAUGUCUUCAGCUUUUGGUAGAUGCUUUUAGGAAUUUCAGAGGUCCUUGCUGUCAAAGAUUUAAAUAAAGUCAAACAUAAAAAUGUUUUAAAAAAAAAAAAAAACAUUCGCGUGCACAUACACACAAACACAC